CCUACGGGGGGCUGCAGUGGGGAAUAUUGGACAAUGGGGGGAACCCUGAUCCAGCCAUGCCGCGUGUGUGAAGAAGGCCCCCGGGUUGUAAAGCACUUUCAGUGAGGAAGAACGCCUGGUGGUUAAUACCCAUCAGGAAAGACAUCACUCACAGAAGAAGCACCGGCUAACUCCGUGCCAGCAGCCGCGGUAAUACGGAGGGUGCGAGCGUUAAUCGGAAUUACUGGGCGUAAAGCGCGCGUAGGUGGCUUGAUAAGCCGGUUGUGAAAGCCCCGGGCUCAACCUGGGAACGGCAUCCGGAACUGUCAAGCUAGAGUGCAGGAGAGGAAGGUAGAAUUCCCGGUGUAGCGGUGAAAUGCGUAGAGAUCGGGAGGAAUACCAGUGGCGAAGGCGGCCUUCUGGACUGACACUGACACUGAGGUGCGAAAGCGUGGGUAGCAAACAGGAUUAGAUACCCCAGUAGUC
This 465-nucleotide ribosomal RNA is filed under the name Vreelandella stevensii. Its description in RNAcentral is "partial 16S ribosomal RNA". It matches the Rfam family "Bacterial small subunit ribosomal RNA", at positions 338 to 795 of the family's 1533-position model. The record is from RNAcentral. Lineage: Bacteria; Pseudomonadati; Pseudomonadota; Gammaproteobacteria; Oceanospirillales; Halomonadaceae.